Non-coding RNA from Malus domestica (apple), 817 nucleotides. The record is from RefSeq and is a predicted model, not a curated record. Lineage: Eukaryota; Viridiplantae; Streptophyta; Magnoliopsida; Rosales; Rosaceae.
AGAAACUGAAAGAACAGAGUCAUUUCUCUCGGCCCUCAUUGCUCCCCACAAAGAAAAGAACACAGUCACGGAAAGAACACAUUCAUUUUCAAUUUUCAAUUUUCCUUCUCUCUCUCUAGAAAAUCCCCAGAGACUCUCAGUGUGCACAACACUCGCAGCCCUCGCAUUUCUAUUUGUCCCAUAAAUGGGAGUUAUCAUCUGCACGGGAGUUCGGUCGUGAAUCCUAAAUUUCUAAAGAGGACUCGGAUCCACAACAAAAGAGAGAGGCAAUAAUACACAGAUUUUUGUGAGUUAAAACGUGUGUAGACUGCUCACAGAUCUGUUGUCUGCAAAGUAGAAACAGAAGCAAAGCGUCUCCGACCCACAGAUCCGAGCAUAAGAAAGGUGAUUCAGAUCGAGUGGAAAUCCGAGAAAAAAUAGUGCGCAAGCUGUAAAUGUAGUCGACAAAAUGGCAAAGCAAAUCUCUAAGUCAACGCGAUUGUGGAUUGGAAAGGGAAAAUACCCCAGAUUGGCAAAGGCAACGUGAUGACAAAACUAUGAGCUUACACUGAAUAAUGGCCGCUUAGCAAAAUAGAAAGGCAUAUUAGGAGAACCUGCUGAUAACUCAAAAAUGCCCCUUUUCUGUGAAUGUUUUGCUGCCCAUUGUUGAGAUUAUGUAGCCAUUGUAUCAAAUAAUUCAAAUUCUUCUCUUGUAGAUUUAUUUGACAAUGAACCCCCAGCUGAUGCAUUAACAUGACUUUUGGAUGUAGGAUUAAGCCCAUUAAAGAAAAUAUUUAUUUGUAUAUCUGGAUCAAUAUUAACAUGUGGACAUUUUAUA